GCCUUCGUAGUGUAGUGGUCAGCACACUCGACGCGUAUUCGAGAGGUCCUUGGUUCGAGUCCCGGCGAGGGCA
RNAcentral lists this transfer RNA (73 nucleotides) under Stegodyphus dumicola. Its description in RNAcentral is "tRNA-Thr". It matches the Rfam family "tRNA". From Rfam's summary of the family: Transfer RNA (tRNA) molecules are approximately 80 nucleotides in length. Their secondary structure includes four short double-helical elements and three loops (D, anti-codon, and T loops). Further hydrogen bonds mediate the characteristic L-shaped molecular structure. tRNAs have two regions of fundamental functional importance: the anti-codon, which is responsible for specific mRNA codon recognition, and the 3' end, to which the tRNAs corresponding amino acid is attached (by aminoacyl-tRNA synthetases). tRNAs cope with the degeneracy of the genetic code in two manners: having more than one tRNA (with a specific anti-codon) for a particular amino acid; and 'wobble' base-pairing, i.e. permitting non-standard base-pairing at the 3rd anti-codon position. The record is from RNAcentral. Lineage: Eukaryota; Metazoa; Arthropoda; Arachnida; Araneae; Eresidae.